Molecule: non-coding RNA, 73 nt
Organism: Parelaphostrongylus tenuis
Lineage: Eukaryota; Metazoa; Nematoda; Chromadorea; Rhabditida; Metastrongylidae
Source: the annotation of a GenBank genome assembly
GCCUUGGUGGUGUAGUGGUAGAGCACGUGUCCCCGGAUAGGACGAAGCGCGUUAUCUAUUCCCGCCUGAGGCC